Molecule: long non-coding RNA, 2694 nt
Organism: Melanotaenia boesemani (Boeseman's rainbowfish)
Lineage: Eukaryota; Metazoa; Chordata; Actinopteri; Atheriniformes; Melanotaeniidae
Exons: 9
Source: RefSeq, a predicted model, not a curated record
GCCUUAAAACCCAAAGAAGAAGAAGAAGAAGAAGAAGGAGAAGAAGAACCGGAUGUGUUGCAUUGAGCCAAGAGAGACAAACAAAGUCAAGAGUGCACCAUACUCCUGAGCUGGACCAGAGAGGCCAAGUGUCCCAUAGCCUGCACCAGGGAAGGAUUUCAUCGACUGACCUGCACCAAAGAAAGACUGUUUCCUCUGAGCCACAUCAGUUGAUGCAUCACUCCUACGAAAUAUUCUCACAAACCAAGAGAUGAUGAUGGACCAGAUGAAAAUUAUUUUUAAAACAGUCCAAGGCUUGAAAUCUGUAACUGAAGAAGAGAGAGGUGUUGAACCAAAUCUGCUACCAUUAGCUGAUCGCCAGUCUGUUCCAAACAUGGAGGAGCGGCUCAGAAAUAGUGCUGACCUCAAAAACCAUCUGAGAACUGCACUGGCUCUUAAAGGAGGGGGAGACGUUAAAGAGUGUGUAAAGAGUGUCAUGGGUGCAACCUUAACACUCUCUCGCCAAAAAUGUCAACAUGCGAGGUAUAAAUGGGAAGAUUGGCUUCCGGCACCUGCAAAUAAAGGAUGUUGUAAUUGGCACCCAACUGCAGUUAAGAUGGCAGACACAGCGCCGCCAUACCUCAACUCUGUUCCGGAAUGCAAGGAGACCUUGACACCGGAAAGUUUUCUUCUUCGUGUGGCAGCAACAUGCGCUUGCAUCCAGAACCCGAAGAAGAAGUUCUUCUACUGGAAGCAAGACGUGACGGAGAAAGAACAUGCAUCAAUCAUUACUAAAGAUAACCAUUUGGAGCGAAACCGGUUGCUGUCUGGGUUUGGCUGUCCUCAUUUUAAGACUGCGAGUGAUGGGGUGAUUGAUAGGCGCUUAAGGAACCACACUGCAGAUACAGUACAUUUCCAGGGAUUGUGGAUACAGUUGAGAGAAGAGGGGUUAUGGCCGUGUUUUCCAGGGAUCAGAUAAAGGUAAUUAUUAAACAUAUUUCGCUGUUAAUAAUUACAUCCUCUUUCAUUGAUUUCAUGUUUGCCCUUUACUUUUUUCUUUCAGACAUUACACGAUGAUCUGAUUAAUGGAAACAUGCGUUCCAACAGAUUGUACCUCUGGCAGAAUCCAUCUACCUCUCUCAGGCUUAAACAGCACCUUAAACUAAAGGCGCUGAAUUUAAGUGACCAGAGGAUCUUUGAGCUUCUGAGGCAGCCAGGAGCAAGCUGCAAAAUAAAAAACGGACAAAUGUUGCUCUCAAACCAUGAUCAAUAUGGCAGACGCGUUCAUCGUAUCCUAGCAACGGGCCGAAGCGGCGUCUAUUUUUCAAGAGUACCCAACUGCAGUUAAGAUGGCGGACAACGGCGCCGCCAUAUCUCAACUCUAUCCCGGAAGUGACGUAAUCUCGACGCAGGAAAUUGUUCUUCGGCAAAAAUAGACGCCGCUUCGGCCCGUUGCUAGGAUGAACGCGUCCACCAUAUUAUUUUGCAGCUGACUGGCCUCCGGCGCCUGCUCCCCAGUCAGCCCUAGCUCUACAGCGUCCAAUACCGAUGCAACGGUCUACUCCGGCUCGGUUUCCAACGCCAAAGCAACGGUCUGUCCCUACUCCGCAGCCUCCGACGCCUGCUCCCCGGGCCUACCCGGCUCUCCCACGUUUGAUGCCGAUGCCACGUCUUGUCCCUGCUCGGCUUCCGAUGCCUGAUAAACGAGCUGCUCCCGUUCUACCUCCGCCGCCAGCGCAACGGUCCUGCCCAGCGCUUAACUGUCCGAGGUCAGCUCCAAGGUCCAUGUAGCUUCUGUCGGUUCCUGUUUCCAAGGAGGUCGAUGGUCUCGACGCUCCUCUCCAGCCAGUGGCUUCAGUCUCCAAGGGGGUCUCAGAGCAGGACGCUCCUCUCCAGCCUCUGGAUCCUUCCUGUUCUCUUCUGUCUGCGCCCGCCAGAGACUCAGCUCCUGUCUGUGCGACCUCCCGGUCGCCCGCCAGAAUUAUUAUUAACAUGUCUCUGUCUUCCAGAGUUCCAGUCAGCGCGCCUUCCUGUGCUCCAACUCCAGUCAGUGCGCCUCCUUGAGCUCCAGCCAGCAUACCUCCCUGAGCUCCAGCAGAUCUACGCAGCACUCCUCUCAGAGACUCUAGACCAAACACAGCGACCGCCUGGUCGUCCACAGAACAUUAUAUUACCAUCUCUUUGUUCUCCAGAGUUCUAGUCAGUGCUGCAAUCAGCGUGCAUCCCUGAGUCCCAGCUCCACUCUGCGCGCUUGCCAGUGGUCCAGCUCCACUCUGGCUGUCCGCCUGAGCUCCAGCUCCAGCCCGUGCAUCCCUCAGGCCGUCCGCCUGAGCUCCAGCUCCAGCCCGUGCAUCCCUCCAGCCGUCCGCCUGAGCUCCAGCCUGCUCGCCUCCCAGCUCAGCCGCCGGAGAUCCAGCCUGCUCAGCCGCCGAUCCAGCUACUGUCAGCGCAGCCCUCUGGCCGUCCGAAGGAAAAAACACGAAUCUGAAAUUUGAAAAGCUGCACGAGAAGGCUAACCAGGAGUACCUGAACCCGGUAGCCUUUCUGCCCCCCUUCUACGGAAAGAUAAACUUCAGCUAGGCUAAGCAGCAUGGGGAAGGAACGUGAGCCACAGACACACUCUCAGUUACACACACUCACACACAUGCAAACAGACCUACACACACAGUCACACAAAAUCUUGAAAAGCUAAAUUUGAGAGGCUUAAAUUCGUUU